GAUGAACGCUGGCGGCGUGCUUAACACAUGCAAGUCGAACGAUGAAGCCCAGCUUGCUGGGUGGAUUAGUGGCGAACGGGUGAGUAACACGUGAGUAGCCUGCCCUUAACUCUGGGAUAAGCCUGGGAAACUGGGUCUAAUACCGGAUAGGAGCGUCCACCGCAUGGUGGGUGUUGGAAAGAUUUAUCGGUUUUGGAUGGACUCGCGGUCUAUCAGCUUGUUGGUGAGGUAAUGGCUCACCAAGGCGACGACGGGUAGCCGGCCUGAGAGGGUGACCGGCCACACUGGGACUGAGACACGGCCCAGACUCCUACGGGAGGCAGCAGUGGGGAAUAUUGCACAAUGGGCGCAAGCCUGAUGCAGCGACGCCGCGUGAGGGAUGACGGCCUUCGGGUUGUAAACCUCUUUCAGUAGGGAAGAAGCGAAAGUGACGGUACCUGCAGAAGAAGCACCGGCUAACUACGUG
RNAcentral lists this ribosomal RNA (466 nucleotides) under uncultured bacterium. RNAcentral describes it as "partial 16S ribosomal RNA". It matches the Rfam family "Bacterial small subunit ribosomal RNA", at positions 28 to 507 of the family's 1533-position model. The record is from RNAcentral.